AAAAAAAAAAAAAAAGAGAGGAAGAAAACCUUAAUUGUGAUGUAUACUUUCACCAUUAGAAUUAAUUACUCCAAUAACUACUCUAAUAGAAUAUUCAGCUGUACCCUACAAUAAUAUGUUAGGUUCAUACAUUUAACGUAACUUAAACUAAUUAUAAUUAUUUUUAUUUUCUGCUUAAUUUGUUUUAGUAUUUUCACACAUUUAAUAUAUGUAAGUUAUUUCAUCACUUAAUAGUCAGAAUCUUAAAUCUAUUUGUGUCAACAUUUUGUCUAGACAACUAAUUAUAGAAUUCUAAAAUAACAUGUGGAACUUUUUGUGACAAGAUUGCUGGCCAUCUUUAUACGUGUACCAUUUUGAAUUACAUGAUAUAGAUAAGGUCAGUUAAGAGAUUGAUAUUAUACCAUCAAGUGAUAUGGUGUGGUAGAUAGGAUUGUUCCUCCCGUAAUUAGAGGUCUCGAGUUUCAGUACACACUGUGAAAAAAUUCUUGUAGGGAGUUCUUUUUUCCGAAUGAAGCUUUAUCCGGCGCAAAUUCAAAUAUAAUCGGAUUCUAAUAUAAAUAUCGAACACCGAAUGAAAUAAUUAAAAAAAGAAGAAAUUGAUCUUAUAAAAAAAAAGAAAUUGAUAUUUUAAAAGCUUUCUAGAAUUCAGGUCCCUUACUACUCCUCUUUUUUCCUUCUAAUUUUGCAGUUAUAUCUAACUAAUUAGAUAAGGACAGUCUUCGCGGCUUCUAAGUGAUUUCCUCAUUUUGUUUUUCAAAGAAAUUAGUAAAUUGUCGAAUAAAUAUCUAGGAAUUAAGUAGAUUUUACACAAACAUCCCUUUCUAAUAUUUUAGUUGAUAUGAGAUGAUACAAUAACAGCAAGGGCGGAGACAUAACUGUGUUCGAUCAAAUUUAAUAAAUUUUGUUCAAACGAUGUAUUUGGUGUUUAGAAUUUAUUAAAUACAUACAAAUAUUAAAUUUGAAACCUGAUUAUUAAUAUUUGAAAUCGAAUUUUAAAAUUCAGAACUUAUAUAAUUAAAUUGUGAUUCCGCCUCUGAAUAACAAAGCUUCAGUACACAAAUAAGUUAGGGUAUGAGUAAAUGAUAACUUAAAUACUUUUAAAUUCUUAGUGUACUUUGAUCGUUUCCAAUAGAUUUUGUAUCUCUUUUAUUUAUUUUAGUGAUUGAAGCUCACUAGAAAUAACUACUUGUAUUCGGCAUUUAAAUAAUUUGGUGACGUAAACGUUAUUUACAUUGAUAAAAAAAAAAUACAAAUUGCUGUAGAUUUUUCAAAAAUGUAAAAGUCAGUUACAUAUUUAGAGAGAUAUGAUUCUCAAAUUGUUCUAAAAUCCUAUCUUCAGCUUGACUUGAAUAUUCAAAAAAACUUUUGUGGACCAUAAAGCCAUCCUCAACUUGUUGUAAGUGGCCCUUCGUGCAAACAAUUUGAUCUUCUCAUUGAUGAAAGGAUACCUAAAAGGGAUAUAUAUAUAUAUAUAUAUAGUAUAAUAAUUAAGCAUAUUAUAGCUAUGUAUAAUAAUUAGCCUAUAAACUAUACUACUUUAUGAAAUUCCUCAUAUUUAUCCAACAACAAUACAUAAUACACUUCUUCCUUUCAAUUUUGAGUCUAGAAAAGUUAACCCCAUUUUUUUUUAAAGAAUCUAACAAAAUCAGAAGAUCCUUUACAGAGAAAUUCAGAUUUUAUAGAAAAUACCAAAUUUCAAUUUAUAUACCCAUAAUUUAAAUUACGGGUAUAAUUAUUGCUUCAUUUAUUCUAUGCAUGAAUUUAGGAGCAUAUAUUCCUUUUUCCUUUUUUUCCUCUUCUCUUUCCUAGUGUUCUGUUGGGUUGCAUAUCUUUCACCAAAUUCAUAGCUUCUUCUUCUUCUUUUUUACGAAUUUUUGCACUGACACAAUCAAAGAUCACCUUCAACAAACAAUAGACAGAGAAGUCCCAUGACGAAACCCACGUCUUAAGUUCCAUGGCCACCCCACCAAUACAUACAUUGCCUUUCAGAAUUAUAAAUAAUAAUUGUAAUGUAAACAAAAGCUUCAAAUCUUAAAAUGCAAACGAAACUAUUUGUUUACUCUUGGUUCUAGAGACUGUGAGUAGGAAAGGAUUAUUAUAUUACAAUUGGAUCAUCCGAUUGCCGAUACUGUUUUCACAUACACUAAAUAAACCAACAUACAGUAACAGCAGAAUUGGAUCAUCCGAUUGUCGAUAUUGUUUUCACAUAUACUAAAUAAACCAACAUACAGUAACAGCAGUCUCACCAAUUGUUAUUAUAGAAAUCAAAUUGAAGGCGUUGUAGAAACUCAUACACUUCAAACUCAUACAAUACUUCACAGCAGUCUCACCAAUUGUUAUUAUAGAAAUCAAAUUGAAGGCGUUGUAGAAACUCAUACAAUACUUCUUCAAGUAUUGUAUUUAAAGAAGAUUUUUCAAAAUUGAAAUUUUAAAUAUUAAGAAUUGAUUAAAUUUGGUAUGCUUAAAUCUUUUUACACAAGAUUGUAGUUUAAUUGUAGUAUAAAUGUAACAAUACAAUUUAAAUAUAAUUUACAAUUUAUCUACAAAUUAUCUACAAUUCUACAAUUUAACUACAAUUUAACUACAAAUUCUGGAAAAAAUAUGUCUUCUUCUCAGACGAGUUUCAAUUUGAAAUUCAGUCAAAACCAAGUCUAAUCUUCACCAAAACCCCUCAAAAUUGAGAUAUAAGCUCCUAACACAUAUUUUGAAUUAUUUACAAUAACACCCAAUCCAAGGGAUUUUCAAUUGUAGCAUAAUUGGUAUUUUCGACAUAAUUAUAGAAGACUUGUAGAAGUUUUAGUCNNNNNNNNNNNNNNNNNNNNNNNNNNNNNNNNNNNNNNNNNNNNNNNNNNNNNNNNNNNNNNNNNNNNNNNNNNNNNNNNNNNNNNNNNNNNNNNNNNNNNNNNNNNNNNNNNNNNNNNNNNNNNNNNNNNNNNNNNNNNNNNNNNNNNNNNNNNNNNNNNNNNNNNNNNNNNNNNNNNNNNNNNNNNNNNNNNNNNNNNNNNNNNNNNNNNNNNNNNNNNNNNNNNNNNNNNNNNNNNNNNNNNNNNNNNNNNNNNNNNNNNNNNNNNNNNNNNNNNNAUUACACUGCAAUAGAUUUUCUUCCGUUUUAAAUUUCGAAAUUAAUGGUGAUAGAAUCACCAUUAAAUGUGAUUCCUACAAAUUUGGAGCCUUUUAGGGUUGAAUCUAUCUAUUUUUAGUUUGGUACAAUUUUUGUAAACAAAACAUGGUAUAGGCGGGUAAAUAUCAAACCAUACACAAUUUUGAUAAUAAGGUUUGCUAUAUGGUAUAUAUAGGUAAAAAUCCCUACCUAAAAAGGGGGAUGAGUUGUGUCAUUGGAAAAGUAUUAUGUUUGCUCCCAGAUAUUUAUCCGAAAAAUUAAGUUAUACUUUCAGAAAAUUAUCAUUAGUAUAGUUAUAGUAUAUUUUAAUGUUAUAGCACAUCCACAUAUAAUAUUGAAAUAAGACAUCAAUUAUUUUGAACUUAAAAGAAAAGAGUAACAAGCUAUUAUAGCUUAGUUAGAGCAUUCGCUUAGUAAGCGAAGGUCUUGAAUUUGGCUCGAUAUUAUUCUAUUUUUUUAUAUUGUUAUAUUUUGCCUUAAUUAUAUUUAUUACGAGAAUGAAUAUACACACUCAUGUAGCACAAACGAAUAUACACAUCCUGAUAUUUUGCUUUGGUUGCAUUCAUUAUGCAUACAAUAUGCUAUAUUCGUUGAGUGUCUUAAUAUAAGUAAUACAAACUGGUAAUCAUUGAACACCAGGUAUGAAUGUAUAAUAAUUAAGCAUAUUAUAGCUAUGUAUAAUAAUUAGCCUAUAAACUAUACUACUUUAUGAAAUUCCUCAUAUUUAUCCAACAACAAUACAUAAUACACUUCUUCCUUUCAAUUUUGAGUCUAGAAAAGUUAACCCCAUUUUUUUUUAAAGAAUCUAACAAAAUCAGAAGAUCCUUUACAGAGAAAUUCAGAUUUUAUAGAAAAGACAAAACAAUUAUUCUUGCACAUUUGUUGGCUCUUGGAUAAUUAUAGCGCGUUUAAAAUGUUUUUAAUAAUUUCCAUAUGCCAAAUAGUUCACACGUAGAUAUUUAUCACUUUUGUGGGAAAUAAAUGGAUAAAGACCUUUAUACGUGUUAAGAUGCCGGUUUUGACUUCUCAUUUUCUUUUUUCUUCUUUUAUUAAAUACACGUCCGAUUAAACCCUUGCCAUAACCCCUAUAUAAAACCUCCAUUCAAACUCCUAAAUCUUGCAUUAUUUUUCACUACAACAAAAAAUAUAUAUUAUACAGUUAGUUAACAUAUUCUCAUGUCAUCCUAUUCAACCACCACCACUACGGCUGACGACGGCGGAAGGACGGCGAUCACCGCCGUCCAUCCCGACAUCAUACAAACCCUAAUCUUAACCAAACUCGACGGCCCAACUCUUAUUUCCACCAGUUCCGCUUCUUCACAACUUAAAAAUCUCUGUUCCGAUGAUAUUCUCUGGCAAAAGAUUUGCAACUCUUAUUGGCCAUCUUCCUCUAAUCCUCUAGUCCAAAACGCCAUCUCCACCUUCCCUUCCGGUCACCGGUCAUUCUUCUCCGACUCCUUUCCCGCCAUCCUCCACCAUAAUAAUACUAAUAUAUGUCGUACCGAAUACCGAAAUUUCUUAACACCGGAGUUGAUAUCAGCUGUUGAUAUUCACUUUGAGGAAAAUUUAUUAUACUCAAAAGUAGUGAAAACAGAGACGAAAAGCGGGUGGUUCAUGACUUCGCCGUUAAGAGUUGACCUUUUGGGUCAUAAAGAGACGGUAACGACGCCGGUGAAAUUCGACGGCGAUGACGGAAUAUGCAAAUCACGUUUAAAGGAGAAUAUGAAAUUGAGCUGGAUUUUAAUUGAUCCAAAGAAAAAUCGAGCUGUGAAUAUGUCGAGUUUGAAGCCGGUAUCCGUCCGGCGACAUUGGUUAACCGGAGAAUUGAAGGUCCGGUAUUCAACGGUGAUGGCUUUUGGUGCCGACGCCGGCGACGGAGGAGGGUUCGUGCAGUGCGGAAUAGUAGUCACGUGCGAAGGGAAGGAAGGAGGUGAAUUGCACGUGAGGGAAGUGAGCAUGCAAGUGGAGGACAUGGAUGGGAAAGUUUUAAGUGGAAAGGAUAGUUUGGUAAUUUUGCAAGAGGCUAUGGAAGGAGGAAGGAAGAAGGGAAAAGAAGGAGAAGAAAAAGAAAGGUAUGAGAAAUUCUUGGAAUUAAGGAAAUUAUGGAGGGAAAGAAAACAAAGGAGAGAAAAAAGAUUAGAUAUGAUGUGUAUAGUUAGUGGGAUUACAAUUUUUAUUUCUUUUUGGACUUUGAUUGUGUUAGGUUCAAGAAGCUAGUAAUGGUAAUUAUUUUAGUUAGAAAUAGGAAAAAAAAAAGAAUUUAAAGUUAUUAUAUUAAUUUUUUCUCAAUAAAGAAAGAAAAUUACAAUGUUAUAGUUGUUAUGAAAUCUUCUAUUUAAGGUGAGAAUGAGAAUUUAAAGUUAUUAAUUAUAUUAAGUUUUAAUAAAGAGCAAAAAUUACAAUCUUAUUGUAACAUUUUUUUCCUUUUAUUCAUUGAUAAAUUAUGAAACAUUGCAUGAAAAUCUUCUAUUAAGGCACAAUUAAUUCAAAUUGAUUGAUCCAUAAUCAAUAACCAUAUAGAGAUGUUAUUUUCAUAUAUCCUGACUCAUUGCACCGAGUGUAUUCUGUGUUUAUGGGUUUGAACUCUGACUUUUUGUUUUAUAUCAUUUCAUUGAGGACUAAAUUACAUGUUUCUUUGUUUAUCGAAACUUUGCAUUUUUUUAAUAAUGUGGGCAAACGAAAGAAAUCCAGAGAUUAGGUUACAAAUAAUUGGGGACUGGGUAGAAUCUAUGGAUUUAGAGUCCGUUUGG
This 5871-nucleotide long non-coding RNA is filed under the name Nicotiana benthamiana. RNAcentral describes it as "long non-coding RNA (NBEN_LNC019186)". Lineage: Eukaryota; Viridiplantae; Streptophyta; Magnoliopsida; Solanales; Solanaceae. The record is from RNAcentral.